CAUAAUAAAAGGGCAAUUGCUUGUAUACUCCCUAAAAAUUUCCGACUUUCUGAUUUACCCCUCUUAGAACGCUAAUAUUAAAAAUACCUUUUUUACGUUUCAAGUUUUUUCAAAUAUAUACCUACAGUUAAAUUCUGCAAUAGCUGUUAUCUCUGUAAAAUUACUAUUUUAUCCUUUCAAAUAUACUCUCCUACCAUCAUCAACUUUUCUUAUCUGAUUUUUAAUUUUUAGUCUUUACAAAUAUACCCCUCUACCGUCACCAACUUUUCUUAUAUAUUUGUCCUUAAGUUAAGGUCAAAAUAGCUAUUUUAAUUUUUUUUAACUCUGGUAAAUAUUUAACUCACUUUUAACCCGAGAUAGAUUAACGGAUGGUAACUAUAGGAGUGUUUUUGAAUAGCGGAGAAACAUAUGAUCAGUGUAUAUUGAAAAUAAAAAAAAAAGGUAGGAAUAAAUUAGAUAUUUUUAAAUUUUUGAGGGGUAUACCGGCAAUUAUUGCUAAUAAAAAAAGGG
RNAcentral lists this long non-coding RNA (510 nucleotides) under Ananas comosus (pineapple). RNAcentral describes it as "long non-coding RNA (ACOM_LNC017139)". The record is from RNAcentral. Lineage: Eukaryota; Viridiplantae; Streptophyta; Magnoliopsida; Poales; Bromeliaceae.